This 497-nucleotide ribosomal RNA is filed under the name uncultured bacterium. Its description in RNAcentral is "partial 16S ribosomal RNA". It matches the Rfam family "Bacterial small subunit ribosomal RNA", at positions 28 to 507 of the family's 1533-position model. The record is from RNAcentral.
GAUGAACGCUGGCGGCGUGCCUAAUACAUGCAAGUCGAGCGAACAGACGAGGAGCUUGCUCCUCUGACGUUAGCGGCGGACGGGUGAGUAACACGUGGAUAACCUACCUAUAAGACUGGGAUAACUUCGGGAAACCGGAGCUAAUACCGUAUAAUAUAUUGAACCGCUUUUUUCAUUCGUUAAAGCCGGUUUUUCUUUACUUUAUAGCUGGAUCCUCGCCGCAUUAGCAAUUUGGUAAGGUACCGGCUUACCAAGGCACCGAUGCGUAGCCGACCUGAGAGGGUGAUCGGCCACACUGGAACUGAGACACGGUACAGACUCCUACGGGAGGAAGCAGUAGGGAAUCUUCCGCAAGGGGCGAAAGCGUGACGGAGCAAAGCCGCGUGAGUGAUGAAGGUCUUCGGAUCGUAAAACGAUGUUAGUAGGGAAGAACAAAUGUGUAAGUAACUAUGCACGUCUUGACGGUACCUAAUGAGAAAGCCACGGCUAACUACGUG